UUUGUAUGCAUAAGCAAACUGGAAAAAGAGCACCAAAGACCCAGAUUUUGACAUCAUUUCCUGGUUGAACAAGAUGAAGCAGAGUAAUAAAUGGGUAGGCUUUACCUGAUUGGCUGAAUUGAGCUUCCUGGACCCGGGAGAGCUUGGUAUCUGAUCGGCGGGGGGCAUUUUCUCUAUAUAAGAAGAAGAUGGAGACUCGCUACCCACCCGAUAUAUUUUGUCGGACAGAUUUCUGUACAUUGCAGUGACAACUGUAUCCAGAUUUCAUCACAGGAAUGAAAAUUUUUCACUCUUUGGAAAAGCACCUGCAGCAGGGAGGGGACAUUCAUUAAGAUGGCCACAGAUUCCAAGACACUGAAGUGACAGGCCUCAAAUUUCAUACAUGUAUAUUGGUAAGUAUAAGGUCUUUGAAAAUUACAAAAUUGACUAAUUCUGGGAUAGGUAAAUAUGUAAGUAUAGGAAAAAGAGCACCAAAGACCCAGAUUUUGACAUCAUUUCCUGGUUGAACAAGAUGAAGCAGAGUAAUAAAUGGGUAGGCUUUACCUGAUUGGCUGAAUUGAGGUAUGUAAAUAUUUUCAUUUUAAAGUAAAAAUAUUAAUGUUUGAAAUAAAUGAUGGAAUGUGGGAAUAUUACAAAAAUUCUAGAAAUACCAGGGGAGAUUGUAGGAGUGGGGAUUGAUAUUUUUG
Molecule: long non-coding RNA, 686 nt
Organism: Saccostrea cuccullata (small rock oyster)
Lineage: Eukaryota; Metazoa; Mollusca; Bivalvia; Ostreida; Ostreidae
Exons: 3
Source: RefSeq, a predicted model, not a curated record